Long non-coding RNA from Calliphora vicina (urban bluebottle blowfly), 1492 nucleotides. RefSeq lists it as uncharacterized. The record is from RefSeq and is a predicted model, not a curated record. The transcript is spliced from 2 exons. Lineage: Eukaryota; Metazoa; Arthropoda; Insecta; Diptera; Calliphoridae.
ACCAAAUUUUUUUAAAUCAAUAUCAAAAGUAAAGCUAAAUAUUUCUAAAAAAUUAUAAAAGUAAAAAUAUAAUUAAAAGCAAAUUUUUUAUUUUUCAACAAAACAUAACAAAAAAAUAGUUUAAUUCUUUCAAUUUGUAAAAAAAAAAAGAAACAUAAAACAAAUAAGAAGUUAAAGAUCAACAUGCAAAAGAAAUCAACGAAAAUAUCAACCAAAGAAUAACGCAAGAAUAAAAAUAAGAGAGCAAACAAAAAGAAAAUUAAACUGGUGUGGUGAAUUUCUUCAAAAGACGUAAACGAAAAUAAAAUAAAACAAACGUCAAAAUAAACGAAAAUAAAAUAAAACAAACGUCAAAAUAAACGAAAAUAAAAUAAAACAAACGAAAAAAUAAAACAAAGAUCAAAAAUAAACAAACAAAAUAACAAUCGCACAGAUCGUAAACGUUUUUCUUUUAAAAAAUCAAAUACAAUUAAUUAAAUUAAAUCAACGUAAGAAUAAAAGCAACUAAGUUCAACCUAUAAUCAUCGAAGACAUCAACAACGCAGACGCGACCCUGACGUGUACCAGUGCCGACUCUGCAAGAAUUUCCAUUCAAUCCGUUUCUGCCGGCGGUUUUUAAAUAUGGAUGUCCGUACUAGGCACUAUGUUGUCAGCAAGCAUAAGUACUGCGUCAACUGCUUGGCCAAGAGCCAUGUCCUGCGGGACUGUCCAUCAAGGGACACAUGUCAGCGAUGCGGCAAUUAUCACCAUACGCUGCUCCAUCCGGGAAUUCGUAGCCGAUUAGAAAAAAAGAAACCAAAACGUGGAGACCCAAGACGUUCACCACCACGUAAUCAUCAUCGUCGUCCGCCGUCAACAUCACAUCAUCACGUACAACCAUCUAAUUCAUCCGUACCAAACCAACGCAUCAUUUCAGAAGCCAUACGUUCCUUGGCCCAGGUGCUUUGCGUCCAACCAACAACUCCUCCACCUGGUGGCCGGAAUGUAUAAAAUCCUAUGAUUUUAUAAAAAUAAAAUAAAUCAUACAAAAUGAUUUUUUUAUAUAGUUUCAAUUUUUAACGUAUUUUGAAUUUGUAACGUAAAUUGAAUUUGUAUAUUAAUAAUAACAAAAUGAAUUGUACCUAAAGUAGUCACUUAAGUACUUGUAAAAUAAUCACUAAGAACUGUUAUUGUGAAUUAUUAACAUUCGAAGAUACAAAUUGUAGUAAAAAAUAAGCCUAGCUAUUUCUUUUAUACAAUAUUGUUAACUCACUUCUUUUGCAACCUUCAGCUAGAAAACAUUUCUAUUUUUUUUACCUAAAAACUUAAACCUAAAAUCUAAUUUGUAUUAAAUUAUAUUUAUAUAAUUUAACUUAAAAUCGAAUUUGCUAAAACUUACACCUACAUAAUUAAAAUCUUAUUCCUAAAUUUAAAACUAAUUGAUUUAACUUAAAUGAAAAUUUAAACCUAAAUAAAAAUUGUACAUUUGAAUUUGAAAAGAAAAAUUAUAAAA